This 18-nucleotide microRNA is filed under the name Plutella xylostella (diamondback moth). RNAcentral's name for it is "pxy-miR-8523". The record is from miRBase by way of RNAcentral. Lineage: Eukaryota; Metazoa; Arthropoda; Insecta; Lepidoptera; Plutellidae.
GAAAGAUGGUUAUCGUUU